GGGUCAGUAGGUUGGUCGUGCCACCGGUACGUACUGGUCUCACUGAUUACUCCUUCCUGAAGAACCGUAAUGCCAUUAAUUUGGUGUUGCGGGGAAACAGGACUGUUACUUUGAAAAAAUUAGAGUGUUUAAAGCAAGCUAACGCUUGAAUUCUUUAGCAUGGAAUAAUGAAAUAGGACGAUCGAUCCUAUUUUGUUGGUUUCUAGGAUUGACGUA
Molecule: ribosomal RNA, 216 nt
Filed under: Glomeromycotina sp.
Lineage: Eukaryota; Fungi; Glomeromycota
Description: partial small subunit ribosomal RNA
Rfam family: Eukaryotic small subunit ribosomal RNA (bases 40-216)
Source: RNAcentral